CCCAGACUCCUACGGGAGGCAGCAGUGAGGAAUAUUGGUCAAUGGCCGCAGGGCUGAACCAGCCAAGUCGCGUGAGGGAUGACGGUCCUAUGGAUUGUAAACCUCUUUUGUCAGGGAGCAAAGGGCGCCACGUGUGGCGCUUUGCGAGUACCUGAAGAAAAAGCAUCGGCUAACUCCGUGCCAGCAGCCGCGGUAAUACGUAGGGAGCAAGCGUUGUCCGGAAUUACUGGGCGUAAAGGGCGCGUAGGUGGGUGCUUAAGUCAGGUGUGAAAACUCUGGGCUCAACCUGGAGACUGCACUUGAAACUGGGUAUCUUGAGGGCAGGAGAGGAAAGUGGAAUUCCUAGUGUAGCGGUGAAAUGCGUAGAUAUUAGGAGGAACACCAGUGGCGAAGGCGACUUUCUGGACUGUACCUGACGCUGAGGCGCGAAAGCGUGGGUAGCGAACGGGAUUAGAUACCCUCGUAU
RNAcentral lists this ribosomal RNA (466 nucleotides) under uncultured bacterium. RNAcentral describes it as "bacterial SSU rRNA". It matches the Rfam family "Bacterial small subunit ribosomal RNA", at positions 330 to 793 of the family's 1533-position model. The record is from RNAcentral.